RNAcentral lists this ribosomal RNA (465 nucleotides) under Vreelandella stevensii. Its description in RNAcentral is "partial 16S ribosomal RNA". It matches the Rfam family "Bacterial small subunit ribosomal RNA", at positions 338 to 795 of the family's 1533-position model. The record is from RNAcentral. Lineage: Bacteria; Pseudomonadati; Pseudomonadota; Gammaproteobacteria; Oceanospirillales; Halomonadaceae.
CCUACGGGUGGCUGCAGUGGGGAAUAUUGGACAAUGGGCGAAAGCCUGAUCCAGCCAUGCCGCGUGUGUGAAGAAGGCCUUCGGGUUGUAAAGCACUUUCAGUGGGGAAGAAAGCCUUGGGGCUAAUACCCUCGAGGAAGGACAUCACCCACAGAAGAAGCACCGGCUAACUCCGUGCCAGCAGCCGCGGUAAUACGGAGGGUGGGAGCGUUAAUCGGAAUUACUGGGCGUAAAGCGCGCGUAGGCGGUCUGAUAAGCCGGUUGUGAAAGCCCCGGGCUCAACCUGGGAACGGCAUCCGGAACUGUCAGGCUAGAGUGCAGGAGAGGAAGGUAGAAUUCCCGGUGUAGCGGUGAAAUGCGUAGAGAUCGGGAGGAAUACCAGUGGCGAAGGCGGCCUUCUGGACUGACACUGACGCUGAGGUGCGAAAGCGUGGGUAGCAAACAGGAUUAGAUACCCGAGUAGUC